This 650-nucleotide ribosomal RNA is filed under the name Pythium sterilum. RNAcentral's name for it is "eukaryotic LSU rRNA". The stretch from base 225 to 379 matches the Rfam family "5.8S ribosomal RNA". Lineage: Eukaryota; Oomycota; Peronosporomycetes; Pythiales; Pythiaceae. The record is from RNAcentral.
UUUCCACGUGAAUUGUUUUGCUGUACCUUUGGGCUUCGCCGUUGUCUUGUUCUUUUGUAAGAGAAAGGGGGAGGCGCGGUUGGAGGCCAUCAGGGGUGCGUUCGUCGCGGUUUCUUUCGUUUGUGGAAACUGGCCCCCGAAGCCUCCCUUUUGGCCACCCCAUUUUUUGAAUGAAAAACUGAUCAUACUGUGGGGACGAAAGUCUCUGCUUUUAACUAGAUAGCAACUUUCAGCAGUGGAUGUCUAGGCUCGCACAUCGAUGAAGAACGCUGCGAACUGCGAUACGUAAUGCGAAUUGCAGGAUUCAGUGAGUCAUCGAAAUUUUGAACGCAUAUUGCACUUUCGGGUUCUGCCUGGAAGUAUGUCUGUAUCAGUGUCCGUACACUAAACUUGCCUUUCUUGCGUCGUGUAGUCGUCGCUGGGAAUGCGCAGAUGUGAGGUUUUGUCUUGCUCUGGCUCGAAUUCGUUGGGCAGGAGCAAGUCCCUUUAAAGUCGGACGUGUUUUCUCUCUGCGGUGUGCUGUGUCGGCGCUGGCGGCGCGUGGGACUCUCUUGUCUGUUGACGAGUCUGGCGACCUUUGGCUCGUGCAUUGCGGGGUGUGCUCGAUUGGCGGUAUGUUAGGCUUCGGCUUUGACAAUGCAGCUUAUUGG